Molecule: transfer RNA, 74 nt
Filed under: Paraperlucidibaca baekdonensis
Lineage: Bacteria; Pseudomonadati; Pseudomonadota; Gammaproteobacteria; Moraxellales; Moraxellaceae
Description: Moraxellaceae bacterium RL-2 tRNA
Rfam family: tRNA
About the family: Transfer RNA (tRNA) molecules are approximately 80 nucleotides in length. Their secondary structure includes four short double-helical elements and three loops (D, anti-codon, and T loops).
Source: Rfam by way of RNAcentral
GGGCCUGUAGCUCAGCUGGUUAGAGCACACGCUUGAUAAGCGUGGGGUCACAAGUUCAAGUCUUGUCAGGCCCA